GUGAUUGUAGUUUAGUGGUAAGAAUUCUAUCUUGUCGCGGUGCAUACCUGGUUUCGAAUCGCAGCAGAUACA
Non-coding RNA from Centaurea solstitialis (yellow star-thistle), 72 nucleotides. NCBI's taxonomy places the organism in Eukaryota, Viridiplantae, Streptophyta, Magnoliopsida, Asterales, Asteraceae. The record is from the annotation of a GenBank genome assembly.